This 1092-nucleotide ribosomal RNA is filed under the name Triticum aestivum (bread wheat). Its description in RNAcentral is "partial small subunit ribosomal RNA". Lineage: Eukaryota; Viridiplantae; Streptophyta; Magnoliopsida; Poales; Poaceae. The record is from RNAcentral.
AUGGCCGGGAUCCGGGGCGCGGCGGCCGCCGGCGCCCCCGUGGACAUGACGAGGCUGCUCGGCAGCUUCACCAACGACAUAGCGUGCCGCGCCGUGUCCGGGAAGUUCUUCCGGGAGGAAGGCCGGAACGAGCUGUUCCGGGAGGCGAUCGACGGGAACGUGGCCGCGUUUGGCGGGUUCAGCGUGCUGGACUACUUCCCGGGCCUGGCCAAGGUGGGCGUGCUCGCGCGACUGGUGUUUGCCAAGACCAAUCAGUUGAAGAGGAAAUGGGACGAGCUGCUCGAUAAGAUCAUCGACGACCAUGUCAGCAAAGCAUCGGCACAGGAGCAACACCCCGAGCACGAUCAGCAAGAAGAUCAAGAAGAGACAGACUUCGUUGAUGUGCUGCUCGAUCUUCAGGAGGGGUACAAUCUCACCAGAGAGCAUAUCAAGGCCAUAUUGAUGUGUGCUGAUGCUUCAGAUCGAACCCAUACACAAGACAUGUUUGUGGCAGGCACGGAUACGUCAUACAUAGUUCUCGAGUGUGCCAUGGCUGAGCUCAUGCGAAAGCCGAACCUCAUGACCAAACUUCAAGCCGAGGUGAGGCAAAAGACACCCAAGGGCCAACAAAUGGUGACCGAGGACGACUUGGGCAACAUGGCCUACCUAAAGGCCGUCGUGAAGGAGACGCUCCGGCUACACCCACCGCUGCCGCUCCUCCUCCCGCACCUCUCCAUGGCCGAAUGCGAUAUCGACGGUUAUAAAGUCUCCGCUGAAACUCGUGUGAUCGUAAACGCUUGGGCUCUUGGUAGAGACCCUGGAUCGUGGGAGGCUGCCGACGAGUUCAUGCCGGAGAGGUUUGUGGACAUCGUGUCCCUCGAUUUCAAAGGGAGGGAUUUUCAGUUUCUGCCAUUUGGAGCUGGGCGAAGGAUGUGUCCCGGGAUAAAUUUUGGGAUGGCGUCUGUGGAGAUCAUGCUCGCCAACCUUGUCUAUUGUUAUGAUUGGGAGCUCCCGGACGGCAUGCGGCAAGCGGGCCUGGAUAUGACUGAUGUGUUUGGCAUGACUAUGCGUCGGAAAGAGAAGUUAUUUCUUAUCCCGAGAAUGAGAUGUUAA